CGACUCCCCACUGGAGAGAGGUGCGCGGCCACAUCAGCCAAGCAUCCACCGAAGGAGCAACCUGCCACGGCAGCGAAUCUCUCAGGUAAAGCGGACAGCGGGGGCAGC
RNAcentral lists this non-coding RNA (108 nucleotides) under Comamonadaceae bacterium. RNAcentral's name for it is "Glycine sequence". It matches the Rfam family "Glycine riboswitch aptamer". From Rfam's summary of the family: This family represents the bacterial glycine riboswitch. Glycine riboswitches usually consist of two metabolite-binding aptamers domains with similar structures in tandem. The record is from RNAcentral. Lineage: Bacteria; Pseudomonadati; Pseudomonadota; Betaproteobacteria; Burkholderiales; Comamonadaceae.